RNAcentral lists this ribosomal RNA (535 nucleotides) under Pseudomonas libanensis. RNAcentral describes it as "bacterial SSU rRNA". It matches the Rfam family "Bacterial small subunit ribosomal RNA", at positions 123 to 653 of the family's 1533-position model. Lineage: Bacteria; Pseudomonadati; Pseudomonadota; Gammaproteobacteria; Pseudomonadales; Pseudomonadaceae. The record is from RNAcentral.
AAUCUGCCUGGUAGUGGGGGAUAACGUUCGGAAACGGACGCUAAUACCGCAUACGUCCUACGGGAGAAAGCAGGGGACCUUCGGGCCUUGCGCUAUCAGAUGAGCCUAGGUCGGAUUAGCUAGUUGGUGAGGUAAUGGCUCACCAAGGCGACGAUCCGUAACUGGUCUGAGAGGAUGAUCAGUCACACUGGAACUGAGACACGGUCCAGACUCCUACGGGAGGCAGCAGUGGGGAAUAUUGGACAAUGGGCGAAAGCCUGAUCCAGCCAUGCCGCGUGUGUGAAGAAGGUCUUCGGAUUGUAAAGCACUUUAAGUUGGGAGGAAGGGUUGUAGAUUAAUACUCUGCAAUUUUGACGUUACCGACAGAAUAAGCACCGGCUAACUCUGUGCCAGCAGCCGCGGUAAUACAGAGGGUGCAAGCGUUAAUCGGAAUUACUGGGCGUAAAGCGCGCGUAGGUGGUUUGUUAAGUUGGAUGUGAAAUCCCCGGGCUCAACCUGGGAACUGCAUUCAAAACUGACUGACUAGAGUAUGGUA